RNAcentral lists this long non-coding RNA (508 nucleotides) under Homo sapiens (human). Its description in RNAcentral is "HSALNT0360257". Lineage: Eukaryota; Metazoa; Chordata; Mammalia; Primates; Hominidae. The record is from RNAcentral.
AGACUAUUGCUGGAAACCAUCCGCUGGGAUGUUUCUUAGGGAAAUCCCGUCGUGUGGAAGGAAGCCUUUUAAAGGCAAAGUCAGAUGUUGAGGAAUUAGCCUUUUCAUAGAAUUAUCAAAGGAUGGCUGUACAGACCACCUAGAAAAUAAUUCAGUAUUUCAGGUUUUUCUUUUCUGGGAGUGUGAUAACUGAAAUUGUUAGAUUUUGGCUCAGUUAAGAAAAGAAAGAUCUGUUGCCUUUCUUCUGAGUGAACAGUGGUGAGAAAAAAUUUUGCAAGGCCCCGCUUUUCCUUUCUUCACAGGCCAGCAGUAGCCAUAUCUGAUCAAAAAAGAUACCUGAAGGAAUAUUGAUCACAUUUUCCUGAGGCCCUAGCAAGCACAGGAAUUGAGAAGUUAGGACUGGAACAACUUUGUCAUUUGUCACAAUUGCCAAACAUUAGAAUACACAGGAACCGUUUUUUCAGGUAACUCUGUGACUUGGCUGGAUCUUCCUGAUCAUCAAGAUUAG